AUACGGAGGAUCCGAGCGUUAUCCGGAUUUAUUGGGUUUAAAGGGAGCGUAGGCGGACGCUUAAGUCAGUUGUGAAAGUUUGCGGCUCAACCGUAAAAUUGCAGUUGAUACUGGGUGUCUUGAGUACAGUAGAGGCAGGCGGAAUUCGUGGUGUAGCGGUGAAAUGCUUAGAUAUCACGAAGAACACCGAUUGCGAAAGCAGCCUGCUGGACUGUAACUGACGCUGAUGCUCGAAAGUGUGGGUAUCAAACAGGAUUAGAUACCCUGGUAGUCCACACAGUAAACGAUGAAUACUCGCUGUUUGCGAUAUACAGUAAGCGGCCAAGCGAAAGCGUUAAGUAUUCCACCUGGGGAGUACGCCGGCAACGGUGAAACUCAAAUGAAUUGACGGGG
This 393-nucleotide ribosomal RNA is filed under the name uncultured bacterium. RNAcentral describes it as "partial 16S ribosomal RNA". It matches the Rfam family "Bacterial small subunit ribosomal RNA", at positions 523 to 918 of the family's 1533-position model. The record is from RNAcentral.